Molecule: small nucleolar RNA, 74 nt
Organism: Lontra canadensis (Northern American river otter)
Lineage: Eukaryota; Metazoa; Chordata; Mammalia; Carnivora; Mustelidae
Product: small nucleolar RNA U2-19
Exons: 1
Source: RefSeq, a predicted model, not a curated record
AAUAAAAUAAAAUAGCCAAAUUUGAGUAUCAGAAGACCUACUAGUCUCCCCGGUUGAUCUCUAUAUUUCUGAGA